CUGGCCUCAUGUUGUCAAGGUUCAUGACAUACUGGCCUCAUGUUGUCAAGGUUCAUGACAUACUGGCUUCAUGUUGUCAAGGUUCAUGACAUACUGGCCUCAUGUUGUCAAGGUUCAUGACAUACUGGCCUCAUGUUGUCAAAGUUCAUGACAUACUGGCUUCAUGUUGUCAAGGUUCAUGACAUACUGGCUUCAUGUUGUCAAGGUUCAUGACAUACUGGCCUCAUGUUGUCAAGGUUCAUGACAUACUGGACCCAUGUUGUCAAGGUUCAUGACAUACUGGCCCCAUGUUGUCAAGGUUCAUGACAUACUGGCUUCAUGUUGUCAAGGUUCAUGACAUACUGGCUUCAUGUUGUCAAGGUUCAUGACA
This 370-nucleotide long non-coding RNA is filed under the name Haliotis rubra (blacklip abalone). Its description in RNAcentral is "uncharacterized LOC124284590, transcript variant X2". Lineage: Eukaryota; Metazoa; Mollusca; Gastropoda; Lepetellida; Haliotidae. The record is from RNAcentral.